RNAcentral lists this ribosomal RNA (1328 nucleotides) under uncultured bacterium. RNAcentral's name for it is "bacterial SSU rRNA". It matches the Rfam family "Bacterial small subunit ribosomal RNA", at positions 38 to 1387 of the family's 1533-position model. The record is from RNAcentral.
GGCGGCGCGCCUAACACAUGCAAGUCGAACGAGCGAGAGAGAGCUUGCUUUCUCGAGCGAGUGGCGAACGGGUGAGUAACGCGUGAGGAACCUGCCUCAAAGAGGGGGACAACAGUUGGAAACGACUGCUAAUACCGCAUAAGCCCACGGCUCGGCAUCGAGCAGAGGGAAAAGGAGCAAUCCGCUUUGAGAUGGCCUCGCGUCCGAUUAGCUAGUUGGUGAGGUAACGGCCCACCAAGGCGACGAUCGGUAGCCGGACUGAGAGGUUGAACGGCCACAUUGGGACUGAGACACGGCCCAGACUCCUACAGGAGGCAGCAGUGGGGAAUAUUGCACAAUGGGGGAAACCCUGAUGCAGCGACGCCGCGUGGAGGAAGAAGGUCUUCGGAUUGUAAACUCCUGUUGUUGGGGAAGAUAAUGACGGUACCCAACAAGGAAGUGACGGCUAACUACGUGCCAGCAGCCGCGGUAAAACGUAGGUCACAAGCGUUGUCCGGAAUUACUGGGUGUAAAGGGAGCGCAGGCGGGAAGACAAGUUGGAAGUGAAAUCUAUGGGCUCAACCCAUAAACUGCUUUCAAAACUGUUUUUCUUGAGUAGUGCAGAGGUAGGCGGAAUUCCCGGUGUAGCGGUGGAAUGCGUAGAUAUCGGGAGGAACACCAGUGGCGAAGGCGGCCUACUGGGCACCAACUGACGCUGAGGCUCGAAAGUGUGGGUAGCAAACAGGAUUAGAUACCCUGGUAGUCCACACCGUAAACGAUGAUUACUAGGUGUUGGAGGAUUGACCCCUUCAGUGCCGCAGUUAACACAAUAAGUAAUCCACCUGGGGAGUACGACCGCAAGGUUGAAACUCAAAGGAAUUGACGGGGGCCCGCACAAGCAGUGGAGUAUGUGGUUUAAUUCGACGCAACGCGAAGAACCUUACCAAGUCUUGACAUCCCUUGACAGACAUAGAAAUAUGUAAUCUCUUCGGAGCAAGGAGACAGGUGGUGCAUGGUUGUCGUCAGCUCGUGUCGUGAGAUGUUGGGUUAAGUCCCGCAACGAGCGCAACCCUUAUGGUCAGUUACUACGCAAGAGGACUCUGGCCAGACUGCCGUUGACAAAACGGAGGAAGGUGGGGAUGACGUCAAAUCAUCAUGCCCUUUAUGACUUGGGCUACACACGUACUACAAUGGCGUUAAACAAAGAGAAGCAAGACCGCGAGGUGGAGCAAAACUCAGAAACAACGUCCCAGUUCGGACUGCAGGCUGCAACUCGCCUGCACGAAGUCGGAAUUGCUAGUAAUCGUGGAUCAGCAUGCCACGGUGAAUACGUUCCCGGGCCUUGCACA